GUGCCAGCCGCCGCAGUAAUACCGGCAGCUCGAGUGAUGGCCACUCUUAUUGGGCCUAAAGCGUCCGUAGCUGGCCGCGCAAGUCCGUCGGGAAAUCCAUCAGCCCAACUGAUGGGCGUCCGGCGGAAACUGCACGGCUUGGGACCGGAAGGCUCGAGAGGUACGUCCGGGGUAGGAGUGAAAUCCCGUAAUCCUGGACGGACCACCGGUGGCGAAAGCGCCUCGAGAGGACGGACCCGACGGUGAGGAACGAAAGCCAGGGUCUCGAACCGGAUUAGAAACCCUUGUAGUCC
This 293-nucleotide ribosomal RNA is filed under the name uncultured bacterium. Its description in RNAcentral is "partial 16S ribosomal RNA". It matches the Rfam family "Archaeal small subunit ribosomal RNA", at positions 455 to 747 of the family's 1478-position model. The record is from RNAcentral.